UGCAGUGUGGCAUAGUGGUAAGGAGCUGGGCUAGCAACCAAAAGGUUGCAGGUUCAAUUCCCUGCUGGGGCAG
Non-coding RNA from Megalops atlanticus (tarpon), 73 nucleotides. NCBI's taxonomy places the organism in Eukaryota, Metazoa, Chordata, Actinopteri, Elopiformes, Megalopidae. The record is from the annotation of a GenBank genome assembly.